Molecule: ribosomal RNA, 2531 nt
Filed under: human gut metagenome
Description: bacterial LSU rRNA
Rfam family: Bacterial large subunit ribosomal RNA
Source: RNAcentral
AGCGUACACGGUGGAUGCCCUGGCAGUCAGAGGCGAUGAAGGACGUGCUAAUCUGCGAUAAGCGUCGGUAAGGUGAUAUGAACCGUUAUAACCGGCGAUUUCCGAAUGGGGAAACCCAGUGUGUUUCGACACACUAUCAUUAACUGAAUCCAUAGGUUAAUGAGGCGAACCGGGGGAACUGAAACAUCUAAGUACCCCGAGGAAAAGAAAUCAACCGAGAUUCCCCCAGUAGCGGCGAGCGAACGGGGAGCAGCCCAGAGCCUGAAUCAGUGUGUGUGUUAGUGGAAGCGUCUGGAAAGGCGCGCGAUACAGGGUGACAGCCCCGUACACAAAAAUGCACAUGCUGUGAGCUCGAUGAGUAGGGCGGGACACGUGGUAUCCUGUCUGAAUAUGGGGGGACCAUCCUCCAAGGCUAAAUACUCCUGACUGACCGAUAGUGAACCAGUACCGUGAGGGAAAGGCGAAAAGAACCCCGGCGAGGGGAGUGAAAAAGAACCUGAAACCGUGUACGUACAAGCAGUGGGAGCACGCUUAGGCGUGUGACUGCGUACCUUUUGUAUAAUGGGUCAGCGACUUAUAUUCUGUAGCAAGGUUAACCGAAUAGGGGAGCCGAAGGGAAACCGAGUCUUAACUGGGCGUUAAGUUGCAGGGUAUAGACCCGAAACCCGGUGAUCUAGCCAUGGGCAGGUUGAAGGUUGGGUAACACUAACUGGAGGACCGAACCGACUAAUGUUGAAAAAUUAGCGGAUGACUUGUGGCUGGGGGUGAAAGGCCAAUCAAACCGGGAGAUAGCUGGUUCUCCCCGAAAGCUAUUUAGGUAGCGCCUCGUGAAUUCAUCUCCGGGGGUAGAGCACUGUUUCGGCAAGGGGGUCAUCCCGACUUACCAACCCGAUGCAAACUGCGAAUACCGGAGAAUGUUAUCACGGGAGACACACGGCGGGUGCUAACGUCCGUCGUGAAGAGGGAAACAACCCAGACCGCCAGCUAAGGUCCCAAAGUCAUGGUUAAGUGGGAAACGAUGUGGGAAGGCCCAGACAGCCAGGAUGUUGGCUUAGAAGCAGCCAUCAUUUAAAGAAAGCGUAAUAGCUCACUGGUCGAGUCGGCCUGCGCGGAAGAUGUAACGGGGCUAAACCAUGCACCGAAGCUGCGGCAGCGACGCUGAUGCGUUGUUGGGUAGGGGAGCGUUCUGUAAGCCUGCGAAGGUGUGCUGUGAGGCAUGCUGGAGGUAUCAGAAGUGCGAAUGCUGACAUAAGUAACGAUAAAGCGGGUGAAAAGCCCGCUCGCCGGAAGACCAAGGGUUCCUGUCCAACGUUAAUCGGGGCAGGGUGAGUCGACCCCUAAGGCGAGGCCGAAAGGCGUAGUCGAUGGGAAACAGGUUAAUAUUCCUGUACUUGGUGUUACUGCGAAGGGGGGACGGAGAAGGCUAUGUUGGCCGGGCGACGGUUGUCCCGGUUUAAGCGUGUAGGCUGGUUUUCCAGGCAAAUCCGGAAAAUCAAGGCUGAGGCGUGAUGACGAGGCACUACGGUGCUGAAGCAACAAAUGCCCUGCUUCCAGGAAAAGCCUCUAAGCAUCAGGUAACAUCAAAUCGUACCCCAAACCGACACAGGUGGUCAGGUAGAGAAUACCAAGGCGCUUGAGAGAACUCGGGUGAAGGAACUAGGCAAAAUGGUGCCGUAACUUCGGGAGAAGGCACGCUGAUAUGUAGGUGAAGUCCCUCGCGGAUGGAGCUGAAAUCAGUCGAAGAUACCAGCUGGCUGCAACUGUUUAUUAAAAACACAGCACUGUGCAAACACGAAAGUGGACGUAUACGGUGUGACGCCUGCCCGGUGCCGGAAGGUUAAUUGAUGGGGUUAGCGCAAGCGAAGCUCUUGAUCGAAGCCCCGGUAAACGGCGGCCGUAACUAUAACGGUCCUAAGGUAGCGAAAUUCCUUGUCGGGUAAGUUCCGACCUGCACGAAUGGCGUAAUGAUGGCCAGGCUGUCUCCACCCGAGACUCAGUGAAAUUGAACUCGCUGUGAAGAUGCAGUGUACCCGCGGCAAGACGGAAAGACCCCGUGAACCUUUACUAUAGCUUGACACUGAACAUUGAGCCUUGAUGUGUAGGAUAGGUGGGAGGCUUUGAAGUGUGGACGCCAGUCUGCAUGGAGCCGACCUUGAAAUACCACCCUUUAAUGUUUGAUGUUCUAACGUUGACCCGUAAUCCGGGUUGCGGACAGUGUCUGGUGGGUAGUUUGACUGGGGCGGUCUCCUCCUAAAGAGUAACGGAGGAGCACGAAGGUUGGCUAAUCCUGGUCGGACAUCAGGAGGUUAGUGCAAUGGCAUAAGCCAGCUUGACUGCGAGCGUGACGGCGCGAGCAGGUGCGAAAGCAGGUCAUAGUGAUCCGGUGGUUCUGAAUGGAAGGGCCAUCGCUCAACGGAUAAAAGGUACUCCGGGGAUAACAGGCUGAUACCGCCCAAGAGUUCAUAUCGACGGCGGUGUUUGGCACCUCGAUGUCGGCUCAUCACAUCCUGGGGCUGAAGUAGGUCCCAAGG